RNAcentral lists this long non-coding RNA (278 nucleotides) under Bos taurus (domestic cattle). RNAcentral describes it as "long non-coding RNA NONBTAT012209". The record is from RNAcentral. Lineage: Eukaryota; Metazoa; Chordata; Mammalia; Artiodactyla; Bovidae.
AGAUACUUUGUUGAAAAGCAGUAAGGAUAAUGUGGGAUAGAAGACAAGAGGAGCUGCGUUCAGAUGAGAUUUGAAAGUGGCAGGAGAAUGCGAAGUGGGAAAGAAUCACUACUCAAGUCAAAACUACUUGAGUUACAUAUGAGACCCUUGAUUGUUCCCAAAGCAUCAUUCAAAGCACAAUAAAAAUGCUGAGAGGUGGUCUUUCUCUUUUUCUUUGAUGCUCCUUACAAUCUAUGCAGCAUUCCCCACAGAGUGUGCUCUUCAGAAACUGUGAGUGA